Molecule: ribosomal RNA, 394 nt
Filed under: uncultured bacterium
Lineage: Bacteria
Description: partial 16S ribosomal RNA
Rfam family: Bacterial small subunit ribosomal RNA
Source: RNAcentral
AUACGGAGGAUGCAAGCGUUAUCCGGAUUUAUUGGGUUUAAAGGGUGCGUAGGCGGAUGAUUAAGCGUGAGGUGAAAUGCCACUGCUCAACAGUGGAACUGCCUCGCGAACUGGUUGUCUUGAAUGCUCCUGCCGUGGGAGGAAUGUGUGGUGUAGCGGUGAAAUGCAUAGAGAUCACACAGAACACCGAUUGCGAAGGCGUCUCACGAAGGGGUGAUUGACGCUGAGGCACGAAAGCGUGGGGAUCAAACAGGAUUAGAUACCCUGGUAGUCCACGCAGUAAACGAUGAUAACUAACCGCUGGGUCGUAGUGAUUCAGUGGCCAAGCGAAAGCGAUAAGUUAUCCACCUGGGGAGUACGACCGCAAGGUUGAAACUCAAAGGAAUUGGCGGGG